GUCGGUUACGGUGACAUGGUGCCGAAAACCUACGUCGGGAUGUUCGUCGGCGCGCUAUGCGCCCUUGCCGGUGUCCUCACGAUCGCCCUGCCGGUGCCCGUGAUCGUCAGCAAC
Non-coding RNA from Habropoda laboriosa, 114 nucleotides. The record is from Rfam. Lineage: Eukaryota; Metazoa; Arthropoda; Insecta; Hymenoptera; Apidae.